This 431-nucleotide ribosomal RNA is filed under the name uncultured bacterium. RNAcentral's name for it is "partial 16S ribosomal RNA". It matches the Rfam family "Bacterial small subunit ribosomal RNA", at positions 29 to 507 of the family's 1533-position model. The record is from RNAcentral.
AGCGAACGCUGGCGGCAGGCUUAACACAUGCAAGUCGAGCGCCCCGCAAGGGGAGCGGCAGACGGGAGAGUAACACGUGGGAACAUACCUUUUGGUUCGGAACAACUGAGGGAAACUUCAGCUAAUACCGGAUAAGCCCUUACGGGGAAGGAUUUAUCGCCGAAAGAUUGGCCCGCGUCUGAUUAGCUAGUUGGUGAGGUAACGUCUCACGAAGGCGACGAUCAGUAGCUGUUAUUAGAGGAUGAUCAGCCUCACUGGGACUGAGACACGGCACAGACUCCUACGGGAGGCAGCAGUGGGGAAUAUUGGACAAUGGGGGCAACCCUGAUCCAGCCAUGCCGCGUGAGUGAUGAAGGCCUUAGGGUUGUAAAGCUCUUUUGCCCGGGAAGAUAAUGACGGUACCGGGAGAAUAAGCCCCGGCUAACUUCGUG